Molecule: small nucleolar RNA, 81 nt
Filed under: Charadrius vociferus (killdeer)
Lineage: Eukaryota; Metazoa; Chordata; Aves; Charadriiformes; Charadriidae
Description: Small nucleolar RNA SNORD35
Rfam family: Small nucleolar RNA SNORD35
About the family: U35 is a C/D box snoRNA located in intron 6 of ribosomal protein L13A and intron 3 of ribosomal protein S11 in humans and at homologous positions in mouse and chicken ribosomal protein genes.
Source: Rfam by way of RNAcentral
UGGUGGUGAUGUCUAAACUCACGAUGGUCUUCAGAUCCCCUGCUGCUGAGGGGACUGCUGACAAAUUCCUGAACCGUAAGA